GUCUCUCCCAAGGCCUCCAUCUGGAUCUUCAAACCUUCCUUGUAACAAUCAAUUGACCGAUCCAGCUGCCCGAGCAUCGAGUGCGUGUCCCCGAGCUGCAUGUACCCGGAGAACGCAGCAAGCGCGUGAUCUGCACCUCUCGCGACCUCCGGAACCUUGAUCGCCCGCUCCAGCGCCGGGAUCGCCUCCUCGAACCUCCCCAAACUGCAGUAAAUGGCCGCAAGCACAUGCAGGCUCAUGGCCAGAUCCAGGCUCGGCUCGCCGUCGUCCGCGCACACCUCGAACGACUUCGAAGCUCGGAUCGCGUAGUCCAAGGCCUUGACCGGGCCCUCCCCGGACGCGAUCGUGUCCCGGGCGAGCUUCAGCAGGAACGGCCCGAGAUCCGGGUUGUCGAGGGCCGAUUCAUCGAGUUUUGCGUUCUCCGGCGGUGGUUUCUUCUUCCCAGAGAUCCGAUCCGGAGACGGCUUGGUCCGCGAAGUCGACGGCGACGGCGAGGGCGGCCUCCGCUGGAUCGGCGACACCGUUUUGGCCGAUCUCAGGUCGGAUCCUUGGAUCUGGUGGUUUGGUGUGGCCUCCGGGACGGAGAUACGCAGCGGAGGUGCGUCCGGCGGGGUUUUCACUGAGACGAGUCCCGGCAUGGCGGCACCGGCGACGGUGAGAGGCGAUAUUUUGUUUCUUAAUUAAAGACGAAGAUUGAGAAGAUAAAUAGAGAGAGAGAGUUAGGAAGAAAAUGACGCCAUUAAAGAGAGAGGAUAAAGAGAUAAAUUAAGAAGGGAUUAGUACUGGCCACCAUUCUCAUCUGUUGAAAACGGAGUGUGAGCAGAGCGGGUGACCCGACAGAGGAGGAAGAAGAUAAUGUCUGCUUUUCUUUGCAGUGAGUUAGGUGUGGCCAUCUCAUGUGGAGCCCAGCUUCCCCAGGGUUAAUCGAUGACGUGGCAGUUACAUGGUUUGCCUACGUCUGCUCAUCCUUCACUGUCCACGAACACCACGACGCAAGGCGAGAGGCGCUGGAGAUUGGUCAGGAAUGCAGCGACGUCGUUCGUCACGGCUAGGCGCACAAGGGUCGCCAACAAAAUGUGAACAAUCAUGUAACAGAGAGAAGCCCGCCAACGUGAGGCUUUUUCUGAUGGAGUACCUUACUCUGCUUUUGGACCUAGCAAGUAAGGCAGCCGCUGAGGGAGGUGGUUGACGUCGCCGAUGUGAGGCCUCUUUCGCCCUAGAUUCUGGUGACAGGUUUCGACGUUCUGGACAAGGUGGAUGCCUUCGAGAACGAUGGGUGGUGGAUCGGAAGGUGUAACAAAGCAGCUGCAGGUGCCACUGAGACCUGUUACAUCUGCACAGACUCAGAGAGAGAGAGAGAGAGGGUUUAAUGAUCUUUCAUGUUCAAAAAUUUUGAGAGUAUGCAUGAUGAAGCAAGGAUUUAGGAGACUUUAUAUGAGCCAUGGGAUUUGGGAGAUUUUAAUUAAAUAGAGGAUGGGCAUGCAGUAGUUGUAACACCCCAACCCUGAGGGGCCUGAGAUAUUAACUUUUUACUUAGUGAUUUACAACGGAAGUAAAUAAAACUCAAUUGUUAUUAAA
Malania oleifera is the source of this 1578-nucleotide long non-coding RNA. RefSeq lists it as uncharacterized. The record is from RefSeq and is a predicted model, not a curated record. The transcript has 2 exons. Lineage: Eukaryota; Viridiplantae; Streptophyta; Magnoliopsida; Santalales; Ximeniaceae.